CGUGUAGGCGGUUGGGCAAGUCAGGAUGUGAAAGGUCUUCCGCCUCAACGGGAGAAGGGCAUUUGAAACUACCCGGCUAGAGUACGGGAGAGGAGAGUGGAAUUCCCGGUGUAGAGGUGAAAUUCGUAGAUAUCGGGAGGAACACCAGUGGCGAAGGCGGUUCUCUGGUCCGAUACUGACGCUGAGACGCGAAAGCGUGGGGAGCAAACAGGAUUAGAUACCCUGGUAGUCCACGCCGUAAACGAUGGGCACUAGGUGUAGGAGGUAUUGACCCCUUCUGUGCCGAAGCUAACGCAUUAAGUGCCCCGCCUGGGGAGUACGGCCGCAAGGCUAAA
RNAcentral lists this ribosomal RNA (335 nucleotides) under uncultured bacterium. RNAcentral describes it as "bacterial SSU rRNA". It matches the Rfam family "Bacterial small subunit ribosomal RNA", at positions 568 to 898 of the family's 1533-position model. The record is from RNAcentral.